RNAcentral lists this transfer RNA (66 nucleotides) under Eubasilissa regina. RNAcentral describes it as "tRNA-Asn". The record is from RNAcentral. Lineage: Eukaryota; Metazoa; Arthropoda; Insecta; Trichoptera; Phryganeidae.
UUAAUUGAAACCAAAACAGAGGUAUAUUAUUGUUAAUAAUAAAACUGAAUAAAUAUUCCAAUUAAA